RNAcentral lists this ribosomal RNA (497 nucleotides) under uncultured bacterium. RNAcentral's name for it is "partial 16S ribosomal RNA". It matches the Rfam family "Bacterial small subunit ribosomal RNA", at positions 28 to 507 of the family's 1533-position model. The record is from RNAcentral.
GAUGAACGCUGGCGGCGUGCCUAAUACAUGCAAGUCGAGCGAACGGACGAGAAGCUUGCUUCUCUGAUGUUAGCGGCGGACGGGUGAGUAACACGUGGAUAACCUACCUAUAAGACUGGGAUAACUUCGGGAAACCGGAGCUAAUACCGGAUAAUAUUUUGAACCGCAUGGUUCAAAAGUGAAAGACGGUCUUGCUGUCACUUAUAGAUGGAUCCGCGCUGCAUUAGCUAGUUGGUAAGGUAACGGCUUACCAAGGCAACGAUGCAUAGCCGACCUGAGAGGGUGAUCGGCCACACUGGAACUGAGACACGGUCCAGACUCCUACGGGAGGCAGCAGUAGGGAAUCUUCCGCAAUGGGCGAAAGCCUGACGGGGCAACGCCGCGUGAGUGAUGAAGGUCUUCGGAUCGUAAAACUCUGUUAUUAGGGAAGAACAUAUGUGUAAGUAACUGUGCACAUCUUGACGGUACCUAAUCAGAAAGCCACGACUAACUACGUG